GGCUCGUUGGUCUAGGGUAGGAUUCUCGUUCGGGUGUGAGAGGUCUCGGGUUCAAAUCCCGGACGAGCCC
Molecule: transfer RNA, 70 nt
Filed under: Dallia pectoralis (Alaska blackfish)
Lineage: Eukaryota; Metazoa; Chordata; Actinopteri; Esociformes; Umbridae
Description: tRNA-OTHER
Rfam family: tRNA
About the family: Transfer RNA (tRNA) molecules are approximately 80 nucleotides in length. Their secondary structure includes four short double-helical elements and three loops (D, anti-codon, and T loops).
Source: RNAcentral